RNAcentral lists this ribosomal RNA (263 nucleotides) under uncultured bacterium. Its description in RNAcentral is "partial 16S ribosomal RNA". It matches the Rfam family "Bacterial small subunit ribosomal RNA", at positions 333 to 593 of the family's 1533-position model. The record is from RNAcentral.
UCACCCCUACGGGGGGCAGCAGUGAGGAAUAUUGGUCAAUGGGCGGGAGCCUGAACCAGCCGAGCCGCGUGAGGGAAGAAGGUACAGCGUAUCGUAACCCUCUUUUGUCAGGGAACAAAGGCGGGGACUAGUCCCCGGAUGAGGGUACCUGAAGAAAAAGCAUCGGCUAACUCCGUGCCAGCAGCCGCGGUAAUACGGAGGAUGCGAGCGUUAUCCGGAUUUAUUGGGUUUAAAGGGUGCGCAUGCGGCCUGUUAAGUCAGCG